This is a non-coding RNA of Cinara cedri, 333 nucleotides long. The record is from the annotation of a GenBank genome assembly. Lineage: Eukaryota; Metazoa; Arthropoda; Insecta; Hemiptera; Aphididae.
CAUGACAAAAAAUUACUUAAUUUUUCAACGGUAUAUUUAAAAAUUGUUGGGUAAAUGAGAACUUAGUUAUCAAAAAUAUAUUAAGAGAACUCGUCAAGUAAACGUCGAAAAAUUAGAAAAUUGACACUUAAAACUUAAUGCCAGUAGUCUUUGAAAAAUCACGCCCGAUAGAAAUACAUGAAGAGGGAAAUGGAAAAUAUCACGUCGGGUGGAGUAAGUCACAUUUUGAGACAGAAAAGUCAGGUGGCUGGGUGGCAAUGGUGCACAAUGUAAGAACCGUAAUUCGAAAUUUUGGUACUAUGAAAUUUUGGGAUAGAACGAUUACCAAAAAUG